AAAUAAAAUAAAAUAAAAAAAGGAAGCUUAGCAAACUUUUGAAGGGGUUCACAAGUGAAAGAGAGAGAGAAAGCUAUCAACCGACCCAGAAAACUCGACCCAAACCCAAGAACUGACCCAAUCGUAUUUCACAAUUCUGGCCACGUGACUGGCCGAAUAAGGUAUUGAUCAGAAGCUUGAAGAUCGGCCAUCAUAUCCUAGCCAUCAUCGCCGCCGAAGAACAACUAAAACGACAGCAAUCAAAGCUUGAAAACCCACGACUUUUCCAACUUGCUUCGCCACGAUUUUUGCCAGUUUUGGGUGACACCACCUGCUAAGUUUUGUUUCCCACAACCCCUUCUUCAAUUUCAAACCAUCCACAGCCACUGGGGGAGCUGAUUUGCUGUCCAUCAGCCAUUGAGAGAUUUACGAUUGUUGAGCUAAAUUUCGAUGCCGGCGCCACGCGUGGGAGCUCACUGUCGAUACCAUUGAAUUCAGUUUGGCCAGAAGUGUCUAAUCCAAGCUUUUCGGUCACUGCCGCUUGAAUUUCGGUCACCGUUGACUGUCAAUGAUAAUACGGUAAUUUCAUAUUUUGAGGCAAUUUUGUAAUUGUUGACCCUAUAUAUAUUUUAGUAAUUUUUAAAAUCAAGGAUUGAUUGUAAUUAUGAUUCCGAGGAUAAUUCGGUGAUUUGCAAUUUUAGAGUAUUUUAAUAAUUUAUGGAUGUGAGGGUAUUUUGGUAAUUUUGUUGACACUGGAGUUGUACAUUAUUAAUAGAUGCUCAUUUCGAGUUUAUCGAAUAAAUUUAGUCCUAACUCUGAUUUACUGAAAAUAAUUAUGUUGUUUCCUUGAUAGGGAAGGAUCUGCGAGCAAGAACCAGUCCGUGGACGUGGACGAAAACCGAAUCUGAACAUCGUCACUGUAAGUGGAAUAUACAAAACCUAUUUUCAUAAUAUAUUAUGAUUUUACGAUAUAGUACAACAUAUUUGAUAAAUAAGUAUUUAAUACUUCAAUUUAAUGAUUUUCUGGGAAAUGGAUUAUUAUCUACAUGUUGUUAUUUAUUAUUAAAAAUGCGUAUGAUUAAUGAUUUUAUUAUCGAUUUUGAGUAAAUGCAUGACAAUAGUUUUUAAAAAAUAAAGUGGAUUUAAAGUAUGUAAAUGGAAAAAGAAAUGAGAUUUAAAGUAUGAUUAUACGUUUAUGUAUAUGUAUAUAAAAGGUUGUUUGCAAAAUCAUUGGAUAAUACCCUUCUCCCGAUACAGUGAUACAUUUAUGAUGAGGCCUUUGGGGCCCAUCUGAACACACAUAGAGGCUUUAGCCCGUGUGUUUGGGCGCUUCUGCCUUUUAGAGGCAUAUACAUGUGAUAUAAUGAUAACAGUGACACAGAUACAUAUGAUACAGAUGAAAUACACGUCUUUGGUCAUAUCUGAGCACACAUAGAGGCUUUGGACAGUGUGUUUGGGCACUUUUGUCCUUUAGGGACUAGAUUAUGCAUACACAUAUAUGACGGGAUGUGAGAUGACACUCCCUUAUUUAUCCGUGUAGCUCCGGGGCAUGACGAUACCUACAUAAUAGGUUAUUGCCCAUCCGUUGAGGUCCGGAUACGACGAGAUUAUUUCCUUGGGUACUUGUUUAGUGAUGAUUUCAUAUUUGUGUAUUUUAUAUGAUAUUGUGAUAUGAUUUCCAUGGUUAAUACAUAUGAUAUUAUAUAUGCUCUUCAAGGUUAGUAAUCUGAUUUAUAUGUUAAAUGAUUUAUUAAUGUUUUCUCGUAUAUGAUUUGAUGAAAUCCUAUUUAGAAAUGAUAUAAUUAUUUUUUUAAAAGUAAAAAUUUAUUUUCAAAAUUAUUAUCCACUCACUGAGCUCACUAAGUUUUAUACAUAUCCCAUUUUAUUAUAUCCCCCCCCCCCCAACAAGAGAUUGCAGGUACACCAAAUCGACCCAAAGACUGUAAAUAUUUUGAAUUUUGGUCACAUGAUAGUGUUAUAAGAUAUAGAUGAUUUUUGUUAGGACAUCCAAAUCAUCUUUUUUUUUUUUGGAUUGUAAAAUUUUGUUGUAUUAUUCUUUUGAGAUUAAGAAUAAACCAAUGUAUGUUAAUAUUAGUUAUAAUAUAAAUUUUGAUACUCUGGAGAUAUCUUGGAUAAAACUCAGUAUUUUGGUUGAGGGUGUUGAUCAUUGGAGUUUGUUGUAUAUUGAAUUAUUUAAGGGAGUGCUUGUUUUACAUAUUUGCAGGCUAGAAGUGUUAUAUUUAUAAAGGAGACUUUGCUGAAUUUUUGGAAGAAUUCUUACUAAUUAGAUUAUUGUCAAUCCAAUUUUGAUGAGAUUAGAUAGACUCGCCCUAGGGAUUCGAGGUGGCUCGUUUCACCAAAUGUAAAAGAAGUUUGGAUUAUCAGCCUGCAUUUUUUAAAACUAGUCUUGUACUGCAGCAGGAUCUCAUUUUUCAAGUCAUAAGCAUCUUUCUUUAUUUAGAUAGUUUCUGGUAUCUUUAUCUGAAAAGAUAAAUUCUCAUAUCCC
RNAcentral lists this long non-coding RNA (2485 nucleotides) under Citrus x clementina. RNAcentral's name for it is "Citrus clementina (C. clementina) long non-coding RNA (CCLE_LNC005497)". The record is from RNAcentral. Lineage: Eukaryota; Viridiplantae; Streptophyta; Magnoliopsida; Sapindales; Rutaceae.